This 546-nucleotide unclassified non-coding RNA is filed under the name Hevea brasiliensis (rubber tree). The record is from RNAcentral. Lineage: Eukaryota; Viridiplantae; Streptophyta; Magnoliopsida; Malpighiales; Euphorbiaceae.
GAGCCGCUAUCAUGAUGAAUUUGCUGUUGCUGUUGUUGAUGAGGUUGUUGUUUUCAUUCUGGAAACUAUUUAUUUCAAUUAAUAUUUUAAUUUGCCUUCAAAUAGAUAUAUUUGUGCUUUAUAUUGUUUUGUGAUAGGCAGUUGGAAUGUUGGAUUGUUUGUUGUUUCUAAUUCUAUUUGUCGUUGAUAAUGUUAGUCUUAGCCUUCUAGAAGAAUGUGGCUGGAAUAUAUGCUGUGUUAUUGACUCAUUUUUCAGGAAUUGGUCGGUCAAUAAUGCAUCCUCUCUCUUAGCAUUGAAGCUGUGUUAUAGGUGCAUUGAUCCUACAUUACUUUGAAUGGCUAGGGAAACCUUAUAAGAAAAUGGCAUUUGCUUAGAUCAGGAAUCCAUUAUGAUUUCUCUAGGGGUUGGGAAAAUGAACAGUGACUUCAGUAUUAGACUGUUAUGCUCAUCCCAUAGCUUUCAUUUGUUUUUUUUAGGUCAGUGACCAUGUGAAUAAAAUUUUUUAUGGUUAGUUAUCCAGUCAGCAUUACACAUUUCCGAGGAUU